AUGAACAUAUAAAGGAGGAGGAGACGUGAGGUCGAGAGGUAUGAAUAGAAUGAAAAAGAGGAGGGAGAAUGGGAUAAAAAGAGUGAACAUACUAAUAACGAACGUUAGAAAAUAGGAUGUGUUCCGAGAAGAAGGAAAUGAAGAGAAGACUGGGCUGAGAUUGGUGGAAUUAAGAGGUGGUACUGGCAGCGACGGGGAGAAGUGGAGGCGGAGAAGAAAGAGUAAUGGAGGAGUAUGGGGGAUAGUAGUGGUCUGAGGGAUAUGGAUAGGGGUGGGGUGGAGGGCAGGUGAUAGUGGCCCCCGGUGCCUGUUGGGAACUUGACCUCAUUGUAACUGGAGGUACUUCAGGCGGCGUGGCGUGAUGGAAAGGGAGCGUCUGCUGUUCGCCUUCUCCAUGUACUCUUUUAUUUUAAGGAUGUGGCAUAGUGGUGGUGGUGACGGUGAUUCUGCAAAAAGCUACUCCGUUGUUCAAACAGGUCAUGCUGCACUGGUGGUGUGGCAUUGAGGGAAGCGCCUCUUUUUAUCCCUGCCCACCACUUUACUGAACACAUGAAGGUGCUCCAGAGUUUCAAGAAGGGAGUGGCGCACAUACUUUGCUGCACUCCAAGCUUUUGGAGGUCCAGUGGCACACUGCACUCUGCUUUCAUAAAUGUGUGUGCAGAGUGCAAGACAGAGAGGGGCAAGGAUGGAGGAUGCUGCAACAUUCAUUGGUUCGGGCUUUCUUUUUUUUGUGGAAAGUAGUUUACACAGUUUUAACCGAAGGAUUAUGUGUCAUCAUUCGUAUUGUGUUGACCUUUGCAUCAAAUCACUUCAUUACAUGUAAGUUGUAUAUUUAACUGCAUGGAGUAACAGUUUAUGAAAUUUGUAAUGUAUAAAAAGUGACUUAUAAGAGAUCUUGCAUUAUGAAAAUUUCUUUAAAGGUCUUUGUUUAUUAGCUUGAUCUAGUUGUGUCAGUUUUAACAGUCCAGAUUGUAGAGAGAUUAACCAUUGGCCAUUGUACUUCCUGCAGAUGGAAUUUCAGUCAACGCUGCAAGGUGUGUGUGUGUGUGUGUGUAUGUGUGUGUGUGUGCAGCUUUGUGAGCAAGUGUGCCAGUCAUUCCUUGAUGUCAAUGUCUUUCAUUUAGGGAAAAAAUGUUGUGUGUAAUUAGGUUUAUAUACAUUUUUGAGUGAGGAUGUUUGGACUGAUUAAAUAGUAAGUUUUUCAACUUUCUGGAGCUUUGCUGUUUCUGUUCUGUAUGAGAUUUCAGGGGCUGUAUUCUACACACCAUCAUAGCUAAUGACGUGAUCGUAGCGAGACAAAAUGUUUUAGACACAAGUCCCUCUGUGACAGGCUCUAACCUUGUGACUCAUCAUAAGUGCCAAGAAUGACUAAAGUUGUGCAUUUUAGACACAAGUCCCUCUGACAGGCUGUAACCUUGUGACUCAUCAUAAGUGUCAAGACAGAUUUCAGUCUGUUGUAGCGCUGCCAACCGCUGUCUUACUCGUGUCAACAUGGUGGGAGCUUGGCUGUAUGUACCAUAGCAUGAUCCAAGGCAGUUUUGAUAUUAAUUAAUGAUAAAUAUCUGUAAUGAUGACUAAAUAAUGUCCUUCUUUGAUGCAGUAAUUUACCAUUGUAGAUAACUGCCGAGAGGGGUACGAUCAGUUUUCCCCAAACUCAAAAACAAAUCUUGCUCUGAGUGGCGUGCAUGUGUCAAGGGACAACAUGCUGUUUGAGAGCAGUGCCAUUGUGAAAUGUUUAAAGAAUCAUUUUACAGAGGUGAUAGUUCCUCACAGACUUUGCAAUGAAAAUGCUCUCAAAAUACUCUUAGAACUUGUAGUAAGUAAACAAGACCUGUGUAAUGAUGGAAAUGCACUCUAAUCUUUUAGCCAUUUUUUUUUUUUUUUUAUUAUAUUACCUGUUCAUACAGGGACUGC
Molecule: RNA transcript, 1914 nt
Organism: Portunus trituberculatus (swimming crab)
Lineage: Eukaryota; Metazoa; Arthropoda; Malacostraca; Decapoda; Portunidae
Exons: 4
Source: RefSeq, a predicted model, not a curated record